UGGGGCAUAGCCAAAUGGUAAGGCAACAGACUUUGACUCCGUGAUUUGGAGGUUCGAAUCCUCCUGCCUCAG
RNAcentral lists this transfer RNA (72 nucleotides) under Discoplastis spathirhyncha. Its description in RNAcentral is "tRNA-Gln". It matches the Rfam family "tRNA". From Rfam's summary of the family: Transfer RNA (tRNA) molecules are approximately 80 nucleotides in length. Their secondary structure includes four short double-helical elements and three loops (D, anti-codon, and T loops). The record is from RNAcentral. Lineage: Eukaryota; Euglenozoa; Euglenophyceae; Euglenales; Phacaceae.